This is a non-coding RNA of Nanorana parkeri, 357 nucleotides long. NCBI's taxonomy places the organism in Eukaryota, Metazoa, Chordata, Amphibia, Anura, Dicroglossidae. The record is from the annotation of a RefSeq genome assembly.
AUGCUUUCUCACAGUUAUCUGCUGGCUGUCAUCUUCAUUUCUAUUCAGGGAUCCUGUGGACAGAUUGUGAUGACUCAGACUCCGGAUUCUAUCUCUGUGUCCCCAGGACAGACAGCCACCAUCACAUGUACAUCCAGUGCUGGUGUGAGUAGCUACCUUGCCUGGUACCAACAGAAGUCCCAACAACCUCCAAAGCUUCUUAUCUACGGUGCCAGCAAUCGGCAAUCCGGGAUCCCGGAUAGGUUCAGUGGUUCAGGCUCUGGGACUCAAUUCAAGUUAACAAUUACUGGAGUGACUGAAGAUGAUGAAGGACGUUAUUACUGUCAGCAGUAUCAGCAUUACCCUCUCACACAUUGA